CCUGCAAGGGCGUCGUCGAUGGCGCGGACGACGUCGGUCGGACCGCGCGCGAUGGCCAUCCACAUGAUGGUCGCAUCGAUGACGUCUGGUCGUCGGGUCGCGACCCAGCGCACGGUAUCGUGCCCUCGGUCCCACGACUCUGCCGCCAUCAUGACGGCGCCUCUCAUGGCGUCUUGCGGGGUUCCAAACCGGGCCUCGGCAUAGUCGAGCAAUGCAAUGUGCCCGCUGGCGCCGGCGCCGACAAACAGCGGCAGCGGUCGUGGGACGAGGCCCGCCUCCAUGGCGAUGGUCACCGUCGCCAGACUCCCCAACGUCGACGCCGAGUAGAGAGCCCGAUCAAUCUCGACCGAGGGCACCGCGAGAGCCGGAUCGAUCUCGGCGAGUAUGGCGGGCAACAUCCCAUCGCGGCCAGCGUCAAUGGCCGACGCCAGAUGUUCUGCGGUGGGCGCCGUGUAGCCGGCGCAGUCAUGGUCCUUGAGCCAGAGCGCGGCGCCGGGCAAAGGCGCCCGCCAUGCUCGAUCGCCCAAGUCCCAGGUGCAGUCACACGGCGCGAUGCCAGUGCCCGGCGGCAGGCGGUCGUGGGCAAAGGCCAUCGCAUCGGCGUAUCCCGAUCGGGCAGCCGCCCUGGCGAGGCGCACGUCGUCGAGCGCGUCAUGGCGCACGCCCGCAACUGCACGGUUGACCAAGUAGCGUGCGAUACCGAUAUGGCCGCGGCCGAGCGCCGCCAUGAUGAUUGAAACCAGUUCAUAGGGCGCGCUGGGCACGGGCGCCGGUACCCGCUCCUGAAUGUGUGCGCACGUGCGAUGCC
Molecule: long non-coding RNA, 808 nt
Filed under: Pandoravirus celtis
Description: hypothetical ncRNA
Source: RNAcentral